CGAACGGGUGAGUAAUAUAUUGGAACGUACCGAGCAAUGAGGGAUAACCAAUCGAAAGAUUGGCUAAUACCGCAUACGCUCUGAGGAGGAAAGCAGGGGACCUUCGGGCCUUGCGUUAUUCGAGCGGCCAAUAUCUGAUUAGCUAGUUGGUGGGGUAAAGGCCUACCAAGGCGACGAUCAGUAGCGGGUCUGAGAGGAUGAUCCGCCACACUGGGACUGAGACACGGCCCAG
This 232-nucleotide ribosomal RNA is filed under the name uncultured bacterium. RNAcentral describes it as "partial 16S ribosomal RNA". It matches the Rfam family "Bacterial small subunit ribosomal RNA", at positions 99 to 334 of the family's 1533-position model. The record is from RNAcentral.